This is a long non-coding RNA of Dermochelys coriacea (leatherback sea turtle), 1337 nucleotides long. RefSeq lists it as uncharacterized. The record is from RefSeq and is a predicted model, not a curated record. NCBI's taxonomy places the organism in Eukaryota, Metazoa, Chordata, Testudines, Dermochelyidae. The transcript is spliced from 4 exons.
GGCAGGUGAUUGUGGUGGAAAAAGACAGGCUGAGUUUGGAGAUAGUUUGGCACUGCUGGGGGCUGCUUCCCUUUGGACUGGCCUGAGAGGGCUCCCUUACCUGGGCCCUGACUUCAGCGUUGGGCUCCCAUGAGGAUCGCAAAUAGGAGGGCAAGAUCUGGGCCAUAAGUCAGAAGACCUCAAAACACCAGGAGGUGUCACACAGGCCUAAAGCUGAGACACCUUCCCAGCAGAGUUUGGGCCUGAGCAAUGGAGUCCGUAGCUGGGUUUUCCCAGCAAGCAGGCAGCAAACUGAUCUGUGAUUGCAGCUCAGGCCAGGUGCUGCUGGAGGAGAGGGAAAGGGAGCAAAGAUGUGGAUCUCCCCACUUGAUAUUCUGAACCUUUUCCCCUCUUCCUUCUGCCACUCAUACAUUCACUAAGAACCCAGGGAAGCUAUGACAGUCUGAGCAGGGAUUUGAAGCCAGAUCAGCAAGGUUAGCACCCCGGCCACUGCAUCAGCCUUUCUCAGCUGGGCCUGGAUCCCCAUUGGCCUGCCCCACAUUGUCACAGACACCAGUGAGAGCAGAGCAGUGGCAUUUCAUGGCUGCAUUGCACUGGAGUGGACCUUUUAUUUUUCAGUAUAAGCUGAGGUCUGAAUGUAAACAAAUCUGGUUACACCGGUAUAACCCCAGUGAGGAUGCUGAUUCAGUAGAAGAGGGGCUUUCCUUAAUUUAAAGCUUAUGUUCUGGGGAAAGAGUUUGAGCUAGGCCAAACAGAGCCACAUUGCUACUGGUGUAGCAGCCUGGCAUUCAGUGCUUGUACGACUGCUGCUUUAUUGUGCAUGGCCCAUUGGAAUUGGGCACAGAACAGGCCGAGUUUCCAGUGCUCCUCUGACUGGAUAGCUCAGCCCUGAACCACAAUGUGUCCACAUCUCAGUAUUUCUGUAGCUGUAUAACACUAUUGGUAUAACUGGAAAUGCAUGCCCAUGGAGCAGAACCUGGAUUCCCAUUUGGGAUACUAUCACAACUCCAGAAAGAGGUUCUGAUGGGAUCAGACCUUCAUGAGAAGGUCUCUCUCCUUGCACAGGGCUCUGGGAUUCCUCCUUGCAUGGAAAUGACAGAUGGGGAAAAGGCUGUUUGGGUCCUAGCUAAACUCCUCUCCUUUAGCCAAGACAGGCUUGUUUCCUACAGAAGGUAGAUUCAUAAAUAUGAAAGCCAGAGGGAACCUCCAAGAUCACCCAGCCAGAGCUAUUGUAGAACAUAGGCCAGAGAAUUCUUCACGGAGUCCACUCUGAAAGGUUGCGAGUGGCACAGGAUGAAACGGUUUGAGAAACAGCCAGUUUUUUAACAAAAAAAAAA